Molecule: ribosomal RNA, 1089 nt
Filed under: Triticum aestivum (bread wheat)
Lineage: Eukaryota; Viridiplantae; Streptophyta; Magnoliopsida; Poales; Poaceae
Description: partial small subunit ribosomal RNA
Source: RNAcentral
AUGGCCGUCGACUCCCUGGGGUGGCGGGUUGGGAACCGCGCUGCGCGCACCGACGGUCUGUCCGUCGCGUCUGCAUGGCCCGCGCCGCCCUCCGCGGUUGCGCCGCCGUCCGUACACCGUCGCGGCUGCGCCAUAGAGUCCUGGCCUGGGCAGCGUGGUCAGCUGGAGCAGCAGCGCGAUCAGCAUGGCCCCACCAACAUGCGUGGCCGCGCCAGAAAAGGGAGGCGCAAAAGAAAGCCAAAGCAAGCUUUGGCAGUGGCCCAGGCGGGCAGGGCCUCUGUUGCUGCAGGAGAUGACGGAGAUGCGCGAAGGACGCCUGUCGGUGGCCCCCUGCCUGGCCCCUCGGCUGCUCCAAUCCCCAGCGUGGAGCCAGGCCACGGACCAAGUGGCACGCCCCCAUUCGCGGAGAACACUUCGGAAGGAUCCCGAGAUUUGAAUCUCACACCAUCGGAUGCCCCCGAGGAGGAUUGUAUGGGCCCUGGUUCUGAUGCUCCUGAUCCGAGGAAUUGUCGGGAUCUGCCCGAUAUGCGCGUGGGACCAACCUCACAGCCUGUGCCGGCCUGCUUGUCGGGGCAAAGCGGCGUCUCGCCUGCACCCCCACCUGACGACGACCCUAUCCCCGCUGACCGGUCCUUCGGGCCCCAUGCGCGCGUCGUGGGUGGAGGAGAGGAGCGCCCCACCUCGUUCCCCCAGGCCAAGGCCUCUCUACCGCCCCAGGCCCAGCCCAUUGAGGACACUGGGCUCUCGCCCCAGGUGACUAUUCUGCAGAGGCCACAAAGCCCGAUCACCGCAACGGGACUCAACUUGGAGGCCCGCACGCCUGCGAGGGCCCAACUGGGGACGAAUCUGCCUGCUGCCGAGCGCUUCGCAUCCCCGCCGAUCACCAUGCGCCGUUCCCGCGCCCGUCCCGCUGCGCCAAGCUCCCUAACGUUGGGGGAAUUUCUGGCCGCAUGGUGGGAACAUGUAGGCAUUUGUACCCUUUCUGAAGGGAACUAUACCCAAGAAAAACACACUUUUUCGACCAAAACUCUAGCUUAUGUUUGUUAUAUGGACGCAAAUGAGGCCAACAUGCACACCCGAAGACUUUGA